This 207-nucleotide ribosomal RNA is filed under the name uncultured bacterium. Its description in RNAcentral is "partial 16S ribosomal RNA". It matches the Rfam family "Bacterial small subunit ribosomal RNA", at positions 568 to 774 of the family's 1533-position model. The record is from RNAcentral.
CGCGUAGGCGGGUUCUCCAGUCAGGGGUGAAAUCUUUCGGCUCAACCGGAAAAGUGCCCCUGAUACUGAGAGUCUCGAGGGAGGUAGGGGCAUGUGGAACUUCCGGUGGAGCGGCGAAAUGCGUAGAUAUCGGAAGGAACGCCGGUGGCGAAAGCGACGUGCUGGACCUCUUCUGACGCUGAGGCGCGAAAGCCAGGGGAGCAAACG